This 1479-nucleotide long non-coding RNA is filed under the name Carassius auratus (goldfish). Its description in RNAcentral is "lncRNA (ENSCARG00000027329.1)". Lineage: Eukaryota; Metazoa; Chordata; Actinopteri; Cypriniformes; Cyprinidae. The record is from RNAcentral.
AUGUCGCGUGCAUCCAGUCCCGCAGUCCCUUGGGAUCAGCUAGCGACAUGGCUGGAGAUGAUGACGACCUCCUUUCUGCCAAAGGACACCAGUGUUCCGUUUUCUUCCCACGGAAAGGGCAACCCAGUGUACAAAAGGAUAUUACUCGCUUCACACUUCAAACAUUGGAACAACCUCAUAUCAGGGCAGACCAUCCCAGAAGCCUGCACCUUAGUCAACAAACAGGAAACUGUGGUACCAGCUUACACCAAAGGGGUUGCUAUUCGGCUCAACAAGCGAUGGGGUCAAACCUUAAACCACACGCUGGGUUUCUUCCGACACUCACCUGAAUGUGUGGAACUCGGACUCACACUGGAAGCCACACCCCUCACUGAAGUGUCAUCUCGUGUAGUCUACAUCCUGUUCAACAACUGCACGGCAAUGAACAUCAACAUUCCCAAGGCCUACCGGCUGGGAUGGCUGGUGAGCCAUGACUUUCAUGACUUUGAACUUGUACUACCUGUCAUCGGUCCCAUUCCACCUGCACUGAUACCCGAAGGGAGUAUAGAUGAUACAUUGGUCACUGCACCCUUCAAACUCAUUGCCAUCACAUCUGUUAUGUCGGUGUCUAAAGACCAAGUGUGCAGAACGGAGCUGACCGAGGACCAACACCUCACAAUACACACAGUCUCCCACCAGAACGUUGGUGAGGCUAAUGAACCUACUACACCUCUCAAUACCAAACUGACUGAUGACACACCAACGGAGUAGCCUUACCCAGGUUUUGAAUCUCAAGUGCAGCAAAUUCUACAAGACGCUAAUGCACUUCAGAGCGAUACGGAUCGUCAAGAACUCAGACAAGUUCUGUAUAAGUUCAAAGAAUCCUUUGCCAAAGACUCUCUAGACUGUGGUCUCACCAACCUCCACACGGUGCGCAUCCCUACGCAUCCUGAUGCUCCUCCCACUUUUGUCAGACAGUACAAGAUUCCCAUCGCCUCACACAAACCAGUGCAGGAGAUCAUCGAAUCAAUGAUUGAAAAGGGGGUCAUCCGUCCAUGCAACAGCACCUACUCAGCCCCCAUCUGGCCCGUCCUCAAACCUAACGGCAAAUGGCGACCCACCAUUGACUACAGGAAAAUGAAUCAACAGGUGGCGCUGUCAUGAUGGCCCAUGACCCAGCUAGAACAAGAACUACCCCGAAUCAGAGGAGCCACAAUCUUCUCUACACUUGAUGUGGCCUCUGGAUUCUGGACCAUUCCGGUGCACCCGGAAGACCAACACAAAUUGGCAUUCACAUUUGGCAACUGACAGUUCACCUUCAACAGGUGUCCGUUCGGCUACGCCAACUCACCAGCCGAAUUCAACAUCUUUCUGAACAAAGCCUGCCCAGAUGCUAGAAUGAGAGGGAACCUGAUCUAUGUAGACGAUGUUCUCAUGAAGAGCACAAUGGUGGCCGACCACCUGAAAGAAAUAGACUAUGUUUUGAACCAAUUAUCCACU